Molecule: long non-coding RNA, 672 nt
Organism: Telopea speciosissima
Lineage: Eukaryota; Viridiplantae; Streptophyta; Magnoliopsida; Proteales; Proteaceae
Exons: 4
Source: RefSeq, a predicted model, not a curated record
GUGAACCAAGCCAAAUCCUCCAGGAGAGGAGGAGACCAAAGAAUUUGAGAACCAACAGACAGCUGAAGGAAGUGGCAAUCCUGAAUCACCAGAAGAUCUGCGUUUAAAAGGUGAAUAUGAAUGGGCUUUUCUGAGGAGGGAAAGGCCAGUGACAAAGAAAGAAAGAGAAAGGGCAAUUUGCGCAGCCAAGACGUUAAAAACUAAAAAUCCUUAUUCAUGGUCGUCAUGACACCGUCCUAUCUGCGCAAGGGAAUGAAUGUUCCUCUUGCAUUCGCAAAGGGAUCAUUUCACCGAUGGAUUUCACUGUGUCAAACUUCAGCUGCCAAAUGGAAGAACAUGGUCUGCCCGGUUCUUUCUUCGCAGUAGUAUUAAAUCACUUCUUAGUGGUGGUUGGAAUGCAUUUGCUCGGGAAAACGUUCUUUUAGAGGGAGACUGUUGUGUCUUUGAGAUACUUCUUAACAAGAAAGAUAUUGAGAUGAAAGUACUAAUUUUCCGUGUUGUGGAAGAUUGGGUCCCACUUGUUGGAACUGUAACUACAAAGACAAGGAUUUCUACGAUAAUCAAAGAAAGUAAAGCCACUCAAGCAGCAAGAGAGUUCAAGUCUGAAUACCCUUUCUACACGGCUUAUGUACAUCAAAGCUAUACUCAGAGUUGUAUGAUGAUUAUAGAAGG